AUAAACUCUCUUGAUGCUUCAUUCCGGAAUGAGGCAAUUAACAAUGAAAUGGAAUCCAUUAUUGAAAAUAAUACUUAGAUCCUCACUGAUUUACCUCCUAGAAACAAACCUUUAUGAUGCAAGUGGAUCUUCAAACAAAAAUAAGGACUGAUUGUACCAUUAAAAAAUUUACGGCAAGGCUUGUUGCUCAAAAUUUUGGACAAAAAAUUGGUAUUGAUUUCUUUGAUACCUGUUGUAGCCAAUCCCUUGGAGCACCU
This 257-nucleotide long non-coding RNA is filed under the name Elaeis guineensis (African oil palm). RNAcentral describes it as "long non-coding RNA (EGUI_LNC045503)". Lineage: Eukaryota; Viridiplantae; Streptophyta; Magnoliopsida; Arecales; Arecaceae. The record is from RNAcentral.